GGGGAAUUUUGGACAAUGGGGGCAACCCUGAUCCAGCCAUGCCGCGUGUCUGAAGAAGGCCUUCGGGUUGUAAAGGACUUUUGUUAGGGAGCAAGUCCUGCAGGUUAAGAGCCAGUAGGGAUGAGAGUACCUAAAGAAUAAGCACCGGCUAACUACGUGCCAGCAGCCGCGGUAAUACGUAGGGUGCAAGCGUUAAUCGGAAUUACUGGGCGUAAAGGGUGCGCAGGCGGUAUUGUAAGCCAGAUGUGAAAUCCCCGGGCCCAACCUGGGAACUGCGUUUGGAACUGCAAUGCUAGAGUGUGUCAGAGGGGGGUGGAAUUCCACGUGUAGCAGUGAAAUGCGUAGAGAUGUGGAGGAACACCGAUGGCGAAGGCAGCCCCCUGGGAUAACACUGACGCUCAGGCACGAAAGCGUGGGGAGCAAAC
This 425-nucleotide ribosomal RNA is filed under the name uncultured bacterium. Its description in RNAcentral is "bacterial SSU rRNA". It matches the Rfam family "Bacterial small subunit ribosomal RNA", at positions 356 to 773 of the family's 1533-position model. The record is from RNAcentral.